GGCUUCAAUUGACUUCCAGUCUCUCUGCUCCUUUCUUUUUUUCAAAUUUCUUCCCUUUCAUUAUAAUUUCUUUUCUUUCCUUCUUCACGCAAUUCACUGCCUUUUCUCCUUUCUUCUUCUUUCUUUGUUUUUCUUCCAGAACAGCCUCUGGACUGUUUAUCUUCUUCGCAUGUUCACCUUUGCACUCAGCAGCGAGCUUCUCCGGCGACGGCGGACAGUGACUCUUCCGAGGCUUCUGAUGGAUCUUUCGGGUCUUCCAGUGACGAGUCUUCCGGACCUUUCGAUGGGUCUUCCGGGGCUGACGAGUCUUCCGGAGCUCCCGAUGGGUCUUCCAGGUUCUGAUACUAGGUGUUGGAAAGGUUACUCCUUCCCUCUCUCUCUCAACCAUUGUGUGUGUAGGUGUUGUGUGACAGUGUGAGAUCAAAACAAGUUGGAAGAGCCUUUGCUUUGUUUCUGCCGGGAAAAACCCGUUAAACCUGUGGAUACAAGGCCGAUUUAUAGGCAAAAAGGUUAAACAGUAAAUACAUAUCAAAAUUCCAAAAAUGCCCUUCCGUUUUUCAGCUGCUUUCGUGGGCUUCUGUUUCUGUUUUUCUUCUUCUGUUUUAUCCUGCAAGUUUAAUCUCCAACAACUAAUACAUUGGAUUAGGAAGAGGAAAGAGGGACGGGGAAGAGUGAAUAACAACUAAGAGGUAUAUAUGUAUCAACAUAACACUGAUAUUAUUCAUGGAUUUCCAAAGAGGAUGAUGAUAUUGACUGACUGCUCCGAAAGAAGAGAAUGAAGAUGUAGAAGUAAAAUGCAUUGGUGUUCUUCGGUGGGUCUUAGACACACUGCAACUGUGCAGCAGGUCCUAGACCAACUGUAUGAUUCAGUCGGGUCCCUAGACCUGUUUUACUUUCCAAAUACCUUCUUGUUGAUGCAGCAUACAGACUAGUAGUUCACCAAAUAGUUUAGUUUAGUAUUUUAUUAAGUUUUUAGACAAAUAUCAUUGCUUCUAAGAAAAACACUCUUGAAAAGGAUAAUUGCUGUGAUAGGAUACUAGCUUUUUUGUUUUUAAUUUAUCUUGUUUUAGUUUGUUCUUUAUAUUAGAUUUUAGAAUUAUAGUUAGUUUAGGUUUUAUCUUGUUAUCUUUUAGGCAGGAUUCAUAGUCAUGUUAUAGUUAUAAUAAUUUGAUUUUUCCUAUAACCAAGGCAUAUAAUAUAUUCUCAAAUAACGCCUUUGAUUAAUGAAAACAAGUGAUAUUGAUUUCCCCUCUCUCUCUCUCAAGCUUCUUCUUCUUCUCCCCCUACUCUCUUCUCUUGUUUCACCUAUCUUGGAUUGUUCCAUGUCGGGAUUUGCUCAGAGCAUUCUCUUGAUUAUUCUGCAUCAAAUGGCCAUCAGGAAUUUCCAAUUAGCGCCCCCCCCCCCCCCCCCCCCCCCCAACUAGGGGUGGAUCUAGGAAUCUAUCUUGGGGGAGGCUGAAAUUUUAAAAAGUUAAUGUAAUAAAAUUCUUAUGUAAUUAAUGAUAGGAUUUGGGUUUGAAAUUAAUGAUAAAAGUUAAUUUUAAAAAGUUAUUAUUUGGACUUAUUUGAAAUUAAUGAUAGGAUUUGUGUGGGUUUGGUCUUGAGCUUACAAUUUUUUACUUAUAAAUGAGUUAUGACCAGGAGUGGAGAGUUGCAUAUCACAGAUUUUGGGGUGGGUUGUAAUUUGUUUUGGGCUGGGCUGUUAUUAAAAUUUUGUUUUUUUACACUAAAAAAUUGAAUCUGGUAGUGGGCUGCCCUGGGCUUCAGCGCACUAGUAGAUCUACCCCUCCCCCAAACUUACCUUUUCAGACUUUUUGGCUUGUGUUCUGAGUCUUACUACUCGGAGAGGCAUAAUUGGGAACGGGAGAAAAGUCUUAAGCUUAUUUUUAUUAUCAGAAGUCAACCACUAUGCUUAAUGUCACCUUAUUGGAGAUUGAUUCAACUUUUGGUUAGGUUCCUCAAAUCAAUUCAAUCUGGAAGGAAAUCUGAAUUUCUACAAGGGCAUAAAGUUCCUGUUCUAAAUGGGGUGCUAAAAUUCAAUUGAAAUGGUGCGUCAAAUGAGAACUUGAUAUGCUGCAGCUGUGGUUGCAUUAAUCUCUCUUAUUUAGCCCUGGGAUUAGAGGCACGGGCUAUUUUAGAGUUGUCUAAUAUAGCAGUAUCUGGCCUCUUUUAUCUGGUGCAACUUUAAUCUCUAGCUAGCUCGGGGACUCUCCCAGAUGAUUGCUCAACUGGUCUCUCUCUUAUUUGCAGGCUCCCAUUCAGAUUUCUUGAAAAAGUAUGAUCACCCUUUCUGGAAAAAUCACAUUGAACAGAGAUGUUGAUUCACCUUUUUUUUUUUUCUUUCUUUCUUUCUUCUUUUUUAUUUUUAUUUUUUUUUCUUUUCUUUAGCCAUUUCUUACAAUUGGAGCUUAGCUUCAGCUUUGGGCGAUAAAGUAGCUGGAAGACAUGGAAAUAAAGAUAUUUGAAUGUUCACUCAGGUUAGCAGGGAGUCUGGUAGAGCCUUAGAAGCUGCUGCCAGGAUUACAAAGAAAUGUGCUGCUCAGCUGGUUGGCUAGGUAAUUGUGUAUAAGUUGCUCUCUCUUUCAUUAGAAAAGAACCAUUAACAUUUUCAGAAGAUUUGAUACGAAGUAUAACAUGUUUUUGGAAGACUUGGUACAAGUGAUUUACAUUUUACUGAUUAUAACUUACAAAAUACAUGGGAUUUCCCAUUAUUGUACUGAUAAUUGAUUUGGUUAUUGACUCACUACGGCUUACAUUGGCAGUAUACAGUGACACACAAGACUUAGGCUUUCUGGGAAGAAGGCCAAACACGUUUGCGGUACUCUCCCAGUGCCCACAUUGGGAAAAUGUUCCUGUAUUGUGCAUAGUGUAGCAUACAGUUCUUCAUGUAGACUCCAGUAAUUUCCUGCAUUAGUAAUUUGUCAGUGUUAAGGAAGUCAUAGUAUUUGAAUAACUGUUUUUCUUUUUCUUUUUUUGGGUGAAAAAACAACACUAGAAAAUCUAAACACUAAACUUUGUCUUGGCAAAAUUACCUGUUGUGGAAAAUCACCGUCAUCCAUCUGUGCAUUAAUUAGUAGCUUUGCUGCUCUAUGUAAUGGUGUUGGAUCCCUCUCAGCCUAGCCAAUAGGAAAAAGUUCAUGAUUUUAUAAUGCAAAUUAUUCACCUAGGUCUAAGUUGAAUUGCACUAUCUGAUUUUUAAUUCAACAUUGGAGUCGAUACUAACCUGUCCACUGUGAAGAAGGCCUAUCAUAGCCCACGAUGUCUGUACUAGAUUUGUUCGAUUUCCUUCCAGUGGUUGAUAUUUCUGUUUUGGGCAUGAAAAUAAUUGAGAAUGAUUAAAAACAGAGAGGAAAUAACGGAGGAUUGUUAAUAGUUUUAUCAGUUCAUGAGUUGAUUUGAUGAGUUUGGCAGAUUGAUCCUCCAGGUAUUGUUCUUGUUUUCUGUUCUGUUUAUUUUAAUUUCUUAAUUUUUUUUGUUGGGUCUUAGUGAUGUUGGAAUUUGGAUCUUGUUCAUUUGAGUGUUUAAAUCAUUAAAAAAGCCAAGAUUGUAAUUGACUACAAAACUUAGAAGUAGGAGUUAAGAGUUACCAUGGAUGGGCAUGAUUCAAGGCUCUCUCCCCAGCCUCCCUCUUCAUUUUGUAUUGAAAGCAAAAACUCGACACCUCUGCGAACUGCUUGGCUGUUGUUAUAAGUCAUUCCAGCUGAAGCCAUCCCUCCUAGCACAAAGAAUGUGCCAUAGAUGAAGCAAAUUCCCCAGUACCCAUACCUGUCAAUAUCUCCUUAUUAUCUUCAACAGCCAAAGAAUUAUUGUGUUUGCUUAGAUGAAUAUAGAAGCAAAGUGAAUUACCAAGAACCAUCAGGCCAUUGUCUGUCUUCAAGAAAACGUAUUGCUUUAGGCACAGCAACAUCUAUUUCUUUCUCCCGAUGCCCUGGAUGUAGGCGUUUGAAUGCCAACAGAGCCCGAAUUAUCGAUGUAGUGCAUUCAAUGUGCCUAAUUAAGUAUGUAGCCAAGGUUUAAUAACAUUUCAUGCAUUGAAAUUCCAUAAAGUGAUAAUGAAAUAAAUAGAAAGAACAAGCUCUUACACUGUCUCAACAACAAUGUCAGCGAAAAUCUCCGAGGGAUUCAACACCUAAACAAGGAGAAUCACGAUUCCUAGGCUAUAAGAAAUCUUGUUUGUUGUGCUCUGCUUGUAGAACAGUAUGAAGCUAUUGUCUAGAACAAAAGUUACCUGUAACAUUGGUAAUGGAACUGGUUUCUCCCAAAUAGCAAAACCACCUUCAUGACCCUAUAUGCAAAUGAAGAGAAGGAAAGAUAACUAAUGGUUAGUGGUAUUGCCUUCCCUCAAAAAUUUGUAAAACCCAGGACCUUAACCUAAUGUUUGACAAUGAUUGUUCCAAAGCCUUAAUUUUUUAGGUACUGUGGCUAAAUAGCAUAUACCUACCAAUCAGUCUAAUGAAAAAUAAAGUCAUCGUAUACUAUACCUACCUGCAAGUAAAGGAGGACAUUGACUGCAUCAUAUAUCCUCUCUGUGUCUGCUUUCUCUCCAGCAAUUUCAGUAGGCAUUUGUGAAAGAAUUAGUAGACACUGCAGAGAGAUGUGGGAAUUUGUUACGACAAUUGCCAAUCUAAUCUUGUAACUACUGCUGAAUUGAUGCACACUAGUAGUAAUAAUGUAAAGCUGGAUUACCUCCAGUGCUUCAGCUGUGCAAUCUGAGACGACCCAACCUUGAUCUUGAUCAGAGAAAGUCCAUGCUCCUUUAGUAAAUUGGCGAUACAUGUUUUCGUAAUCCACAGGAUUUUCUUUGAUCUUCAAAUUGAAAGAUACCACCAUGUUAUGACUGAAAUCAUUUAAUGCAUCUUCUUCCAAAGCCAAAAAGGAUAUCAUAUUCAUAUUUCUUUUGGUGCGUAUAGCAGGGUAGAAACUAACCUGUGAUUCUUUUAAGUAGAAGUGUGCCUUCUUAAGAGAAUCCCCAUAUUCCUCAGCCAUAUUGGUCGCUAGAAGUGCCUGAGUUGCAAGAGCAGAGUCCCAUAGCUGGCUGCCAAAACUCUGCAAUGAUACCAGGCUUGUUCAAUUGAAAUUCUGUAGAUAAUUUAGGUUACAUAGCGGCUGAAAUUUCAGUUUUUGUUGGUGAACCAAACCUGCAUUUUCAUUCCAUCUUCGGCAAGCCACAAGUAAUCAGGAACCCUGGCAAGAUGGUAUUUGUACUCGUCGCAAUUUGGGUCCUCUGCCCACCAACACAUCAUUUGCAGACUCUGCAAUGACAAAGUCAAAGACUUAGAUCUGAUUAUCACUACCACACCAACCCAUCCAGACAGAACCAAGAAUCUGAAGCUAAACCCAUAUAAAUGUUUCUUGAGAUAGAGCAGUAACAACCUUUUCCACACAUCCAAUGGUGAUAUAUCUGCUACUCUCUGCUCCAUGCCGCAUGUACUUUAUCGUUUUCCGGAUGGCCCUCUCUCUGAUUUUGUUGAAGGGCCACCUGCUCAUAAUCGGCUCACUUAGAUAAUGGAGUGUGUCCCAGAGCAGAUCUUGUAUGAAGCUGUGAUGAUAGUAGAGGUCCUCCUGCAUUAAUUAGUUGAAUUGACUUAGCACAAAGAGGCUUAUCUAGUUAAGCUUUUUGAACGUGUUUAGUUCAAAAUCUUCGCUUCUAUCUAGUGUGGCAGAUGUCCCCCAACCUGGCAACAAUCAUGACGCGCUUUGUUCCAAUCUAUCUCAUCAUAUGUCUUGGUGUGAAUUUCUUGCCUCAGUUGCUUGAUAAAAUCAGUGAUAGGCCCGUGCCAUUUCCUCCCAUAUAAAUAUGACAUUGGCAUAUAGGUAGUCCGACAAUAACACCACAUUUUUGCUGCGUUGCCAAAGCGUAGGUAGAGUUAGACAAACCUAUGCUGCUGAUUGGCUAAGAAGUUAUCAUCUGGGUUUAUUUGUCCUAUUUGUAUGAGCUUUGUAUAUAAAACGUGACAUCAAGAUAAUGGAAUAAUAAUUAUUAUUGUUCUUUCUUUUUUUUGCAGUUCCACUCACCAUGAUAUGGUGAGUUUUUUAUUUUAAGAAAACCUUUGCAAGUGGAUUAAUGUUGUUGAAAUUAUUUAUUACCUGGAUGGUAAGGCAAAAUUGAAGGCCAAAGCCAGAAUUCCGGGGGCAGCGGGUUGCAGCCUGACCAUUCGUACACUCCAAGCACCUGCACAAACAAAAAUGAAGAAAAACACAGUUUAGACGCAGUGCAGCUGCAAAAAGAAGUUAAUUUUUAAUGUGAGAAAUGUGUGAAUGUGUUGUUUUGUUUUUUGUACCGCUAGAUAAGUCUUUCCCCAGGAAGGAAUGCCAGUUGCUCCACCAUUGUCAAGGAUCCAUUUCCUGGCCUUGCUCAUGGCUCCGCCUUCUCCAUCAUCAGGUCCUUCUCCCAGCAACCGGAGAGCCACAUAGCUAAGUGCCGACCCAAUCAUGGUGCUGUGCCCCUCUAUGUAAAAUCCCCAUCCCCCGUCCUCAUUCUUCACACAAAAUUAUAUUCACACCAGUCAAUAUAUAUAUAUAUAUAUUGUGUGUGUGUGUGGAUUUUGAUUUGAUUGAUUGAUAGGAUACAUACUUGAUGAAGGUAGAUAUAGCGAAUGAGCUCUUUCUUGUGUUCUUGAGUUAGAAUGGUGUUGAUUGCUCCACUUAGGUGCAAUGUUAUAAGCUGCACAAAACAAAAUUUGCAAUUUGGAAGGAAGAAAGGAAACUUACUAGGGGUGGAGUGAAGAACAUUGGGCCUGCAUUUUCAGCUGGCCAGUGACCAUCUCUUGCUUGGAUGGCGCGGUUCAGUCGAACAGCUUUCCUCAAAGCCGUAGUCGCAGCUUCAUAGGUGAUUUCUUCUUUUUCCCCUAUUCUCACCGGUGGUAUACUUAGAUCUAUGUGG
RNA transcript from Diospyros lotus (date-plum), 6883 nucleotides. It is a transcript of the gene named DNA-directed RNA polymerase subunit beta, with no coding region annotated. NCBI's taxonomy places the organism in Eukaryota, Viridiplantae, Streptophyta, Magnoliopsida, Ericales, Ebenaceae. The record is from RefSeq and is a predicted model, not a curated record. The transcript has 3 exons.